RNAcentral lists this ribosomal RNA (494 nucleotides) under uncultured bacterium. Its description in RNAcentral is "partial 16S ribosomal RNA". It matches the Rfam family "Bacterial small subunit ribosomal RNA", at positions 28 to 507 of the family's 1533-position model. The record is from RNAcentral.
GACGAACGCUGGCGGCGUGCUUAACACAUGCAAGUCGAACGGAAAGGCCUGCUUUCCCUUGUGGAUUGCGGGUACUCGAGUGGCGAACGGGUGAGUAACACGUGAGUGAUCUGCCCCCAACUUGGGUAUAAGCCUGGGAAACUGGGUCUAAUUCCCGAUAGGACUGCAGGGUGGUGCCUGUGGUGGAAAACGAUUUUCUAGUGGUUGGGGAUGAGCUCGCGGCCUAUCAGCUUGUUGGUGGGGUAAUGGCCGACCAAGGCGGCGACGGGUAGCCGGCCUGAGAGUGUGGACCGCCACAGUGGGACUGAGAUACGGCCCAGACUCCUACGGGAGGAAGCAGUGGGGAGUCAUGCACGAUGGACGGAAGCCUAAUGGAGCAACGCCGCGUGGGGGAUGACGGCCUUCGGGUUGUAGACUCCUUUCGACCGCGAGGAAGCCACCUGGUUGGAACGGUGGUGACGGUAGUGGUAGAAGAAGCACCGGCUAACUACGUG